Molecule: ribosomal RNA, 470 nt
Filed under: uncultured ammonia-oxidizing bacterium
Lineage: Bacteria
Description: bacterial SSU rRNA
Rfam family: Bacterial small subunit ribosomal RNA
Source: RNAcentral
GGAGGAAAGCAGGGGAUCGUAAGACCUUGUGCUUUUUGAGCGGCCGAUGYCUGAUUAGCUAUGUUGGUGAGGUAAUGGCUUCACCAAGGCGACGAUCAGUAGCUGGUCUGAGAGGACGACCAGCCACACUGGGACUGAGACACGGCCCAGACUCCUACGGGAGGCAGCAGUGGGGAAUUUUGGACAAUGGGCGAAAGCCUGAUCCAGCCAUGCCGCGUGAGUGAAGAAGGCCUUCGGGUUGUAAAGCUCUUUCGGUCGGGAAGAAAUAGUUGCAGUUAAUAUCUGCAAUAAAUGACGGUACCGACAUAAGAAGCACCGGCUAACUACGUGCCAGCAGCCGCGGUAAUACGUAGGGUGCAAGCGUUAAUCGGAAUUAUUGGGCGUAAAGGGUGCGCAGGGCUGGUUAUAUAAGUCAGAWGUGAAAUCCCUGGGCUUAACCUAGGAAUUGCGUUUGAAACUACAAAGCUAGA